UACGUAGGGGGCAAGCGUUGUCCGGAAUUAUUGGGCGUAAAGAGCGUGUAGGCGGUCCGGUAAGUCGGCUGUGAAAGUCCAGGGCUCAACCCUGGGAUGCCGGUCGAUACUGCCGGACUAGAGUUCGGAAGAGGCGAGUGGAAUUCCUGGUGUAGCGGUGAAAUGCGCAGAUAUCAGGAGGAACACCGAUGGCGAAGGCAGGUCUCUGGGCCACUACUGACGCUGAGAAGCGAAAGCGUGGGGAGCGAACAGG
RNAcentral lists this ribosomal RNA (253 nucleotides) under uncultured bacterium. Its description in RNAcentral is "partial 16S ribosomal RNA". It matches the Rfam family "Bacterial small subunit ribosomal RNA", at positions 524 to 776 of the family's 1533-position model. The record is from RNAcentral.